RNAcentral lists this long non-coding RNA (507 nucleotides) under Populus tremula. RNAcentral describes it as "long non-coding RNA (PTRE_LNC001964)". Lineage: Eukaryota; Viridiplantae; Streptophyta; Magnoliopsida; Malpighiales; Salicaceae. The record is from RNAcentral.
UAGUGCAAAAGGAUAGAUUUCAAAUUUAUAUGUUUUUGAUUGAGGAAGCUGGGGUUGACACGCUAAGGAACUCUUUUUCCAAUAUCAUUUAGCUUCAGAACAAAUUCCUUUUUCUAAAUGUUGAGAUUUCUAGAGAAUCAAAUAGGUUCCCUUAAUGUCAAGGUCAUGAACUAUAUAUUUUAGGAUCUUAUCUUUGCACGGGUUUUGGAUUUAACUUUCUAGAAUUGUUCUGAAAUACAUCGAUUUUCUUACACCUUAGACAUGAUAAUUGAGGCUAAACAAUGAAAUAUAUUGCCCUGAACGUGCGCAGGCACAUGUGUUCUUGUGUGUUGUUUUUUUUCUUUUUUUGGGUGGGGGUGUAAAUUGUGUUUGUAUCUCUUUCGAUAAACCGUAAUUAGAUAAAGGUUUUAGAAGAUGCUACAGUUCUUGUUAUAGCUUUGGUGCAUGGAUCACAUGACCUGAUCAUUUUGUGCGAGGAUUUGUUUGUGCUUCUUCUUAUAGCCGAUG